Molecule: ribosomal RNA, 414 nt
Filed under: uncultured microorganism
Description: bacterial SSU rRNA
Rfam family: Archaeal small subunit ribosomal RNA
Source: RNAcentral
CAGCAGCCGCGGUAAUACCGGCGGCCCGAGUGGCGGUCACUAUUAUUGGGCUUAAAGCGUCCGUAGCCGGGUUGGGAAGUCCUCCGGGAAAUCUGGCCGCUUAACGGUCAGAAUUCCGGGAGAUACUGCCAGCCUAGGGACCGGGAGAGGCCGAGGGGAUUCCCGGGGUAGGGGUGGAAUCCUAUAAUCCCGGGAGGACCACCUGUGGCGAAGGCGCUCGGCUGGAACGGGUCCGACGGGGAGGGACGAAGGCCAGGGGAGCAAACCGGAUUAGAUACCCGGGUAGUCCUGGCUGUAAACGAUGCGGACUUUGUGUCGGACAAGCUAUGAGCUUGUCCGGUGCCGGAGGGAAACCGUUAAGUCCGCCGCCUGGGGAGUACGGCCGCAAGGCUGAAACUUAAAGGAAUUGGCGGG